Molecule: long non-coding RNA, 1007 nt
Organism: Microplitis demolitor
Lineage: Eukaryota; Metazoa; Arthropoda; Insecta; Hymenoptera; Braconidae
Exons: 3
Source: RefSeq, a predicted model, not a curated record
AAUCAAAUACAAUAGUCAACAGGAUUUUUAUUUAUUAAUUAAUGACAAUUAUUUAAAUAGAUUAUCAGUGGAUUUCAACGAUGAAAACUCUCUUUCUGAUGUCUUGACUGGAAGGAAGGAUGGAAGCAAACAACACUGACCUACCUCGACGGACUGCUAGCUGUCAUCCUACCAGCUGAUCAUCUGGCAUCGUUCGGCAGGGAAAUAAAGUUAUUUCCCUGUUGAGGUUUAGAUAUAAUUUGGAUUUACUUGUUUCCAUAUCAUUUAUGACGUGUCUAAUCUAGAGUCCAAUGGAAUCUAUUGACAUGACUGGCCUACCAGGACCAGAAUAAUUUUGAGGACACUGAUGUUGCUGAGCAUCAAGGACAAGGUGAUGCAGAUCAGAGGACACACCGCCGCUUUAAUUUUUUUUUUCUGUUUCAGAUCCAGUCAACGAGAAUGAGGAUAUCCAUGGGUGCCAAGGAAUGCCGAGACCAGGAGAAGAAGGACCAGGACCAAGAAGAAGACCAAUUAUUUAUUUAAUUAAUUUAAUUAUUUAUUUAUUAUUUAUUUGUAUUUAUUCAUUUAAUUUUAGCUGACUUGUAAUUAGUUUUAAAUAAUUAUUUUGUUAAGGUGUGAGUGUGAUGGAUGCUGUACGAGUGAUUUAUAAUUUAUGAAUUUAAUUUAUAUUUUUAUUUUAUAUGAAUGAGUACGAGUGGCAUGUUUUUAUUGCAUGGCUUGUGCUUGCUUGAUUUUUUUUUUAUUUUUUUCGGGUUUGAUCGCAUGGUUUGGAUUGUUUAUAUUUAAUUUAAUUUUAUUCCUUAUUUUUCCCUUCCCUUUUAAUUUUAAGUGUGUUUUUUUUAUUCGGGUUUUGAUCGCAUGGUUUGGUUUGCUUCUAUUUAAUUUUAUUUUUCCUUUUUUUAUUCCCGUUCCCGCUUAAUUUUAAGUCUUUUUUAUUAUUAUUUAAUUUAAAUUUAAGAGUGUAAUCAGUGUGUGUGUGAUUUUGUUUAUUGCGACAUCCAGGCACG